Molecule: ribosomal RNA, 33 nt
Filed under: Hirsutella rhossiliensis
Lineage: Eukaryota; Fungi; Ascomycota; Sordariomycetes; Hypocreales; Ophiocordycipitaceae
Description: partial 18S ribosomal RNA
Source: RNAcentral
CCCCUUUCCGUGUGAACUGCGGAGGGAUCAUUA